This 314-nucleotide ribosomal RNA is filed under the name uncultured bacterium. RNAcentral describes it as "bacterial SSU rRNA". It matches the Rfam family "Bacterial small subunit ribosomal RNA", at positions 28 to 334 of the family's 1533-position model. The record is from RNAcentral.
GAUGAACGCUGGCGGCGUGCUUAACACAUGCAAGUCGAACGAAGCAAUUAGAGUGCUUGCACUUUGAUUGACUGAGUGGCGGACGGGUGAGUAACGCGUGGGUAACCUGCCUCACACAGGGGGAUAACAGUUGGAAACGGCUGCUAAUACCGCAUAAGCGCACAGUACCGCAUGGUACAGUGUGAAAAACUCCGGUGGUGUGAGAUGGACCCGCGUCUGAUUAGCUGGUUGGUGAGGUAACGGCCCACCAAGGCGACGAUCGGUAGCCGGACUGAGAGGUUGAACGGCCACAUUGGGACUGAGACACGGCCCAG